Long non-coding RNA from Bombyx mori (domestic silkworm), 1372 nucleotides. RefSeq lists it as uncharacterized. The record is from RefSeq and is a predicted model, not a curated record. Lineage: Eukaryota; Metazoa; Arthropoda; Insecta; Lepidoptera; Bombycidae. The transcript has 2 exons.
UUACGGCCGUUUUCAAUAACCUAUCUAUCCCUAGUUUCGGUUACUAAAGAUAGACAAAUCUAUAUUUUUGUCCUUACUUACGUUCCAAUAACCUAUCGACGGGCAGCAGUUCCUAUCGGAUUUAUCUAUCCAUCGUCGGGAGGACGGAUAGCCUGCUAAAGAUAGAACGCUCAUACAAAUCGUGCUUACUUCCGUUUCAAUAUGAGUUUUAAGUAACUCUCCGGUAGGCGGCGCUAUCUCUAGUAUGGGCAUUCGCUUAUCUGUCAAAAUCGGCCGGUUACAUGUUUAUCUUUCGAAAGUAAAUCGCUAUAAUUUAAUAAUUGUUUCUCUUCGUAUUGGCAUAUUGUAGCAGUGAUGAUAGUGAUAUGGAAUUAUUUCAAAUGAUAAUGGAUUGUGAUGCAGAUAGUGAUAGUGAGGCCGAUAUCAUGGUUAGGAAAAUAAAGAUCGUCUGAAUUACAUGGCGAAGAUCAAUAAUUACGAAUUUGACUAUAGAUUUCUGAGCAAAGGUGUUGUGAAUGAAUUGAUUAAUUUAAUGAGACCAUAUUUGAGUGUAACGUCAAAAAGAUUCAAAUAUAGGAGAGGAAUUUAGAAAUAGAAAAAGAGUAUUUUGAAUGUGUAAUUUGUGUGCAAUGCAUCAUUGAUGUUUCAAAAUGUUGUUGCUUGAUGGCCUGGGUCUACUCAUGAUACAACUAUAAUUAACCAUUCCGAUUGAAAAGGGUUUCUUAUUUAUAUUACCUUAUUUAUUUUAUUAUUAUUAUAUAUUAUUAUUAUAUUUUUAUUUAUUUAUAUUAUAUAUUUAGGUGUUUAUAUGAAUUUAAUAUGACACUAUUAUAAUAAAUUAUCUACAUAUCAAAAGAACAUUGAUAACAAGGUGGACUUGGAAAUUGCUAUUUGCUUGCCGAUAGAGGCUAUCCCCACAACCCUAUCUUUUAACGUGAUUAAUUAACCCACAUACUCAAUCGGAACGAUUUAAAAUGAAUCACAUAUUAAAACAAGAAAUACUAUAGAGAGGUAAUCUUUUUUUUUAGUUAAGAGCUUGUUAUACUGUAUUGUAAAAUAAUUUAAGCGAAUAAUGUAUAAUUUUCAGAUGCAUUGGUGUUUGUAAAAGAAGACUCCCUGUAUAUCAUUGAAAAGUAGAUUAAAACUAGAAAAUAUGCAAGCUGUUAUUAUAGCUGCCAUGCUGCAUAAUAUCGUCAGAAGUAUGAAUUUAGAAGAAUUAGAAUCAGAAAUUUCAGUCGCAGAUACAUUAAGUACAGGAAAAUAAUAAUAUAAUUUUUCGUAACAAUUUUUCAAAACUUACAUCUGAAAUACAACUAUGUACUUAUAAAUAAUUGCUUCCAAAGAUAAUUUAUAAAAUAAACUCCAAAGAUAA